Symphalangus syndactylus (siamang) is the source of this 678-nucleotide long non-coding RNA. RefSeq lists it as uncharacterized. Lineage: Eukaryota; Metazoa; Chordata; Mammalia; Primates; Hylobatidae. The record is from RefSeq and is a predicted model, not a curated record.
AGGCCCGCGAAGAGUGGGAGCCGCAGCGGUUAGCGGUCCGCAGGCGCGAGCGCGGCACUCGAGUCACCCUUUCCCGGGCACUGCCGGAGCGGACUUUGUGACACCUGGAAGGAGCCGCGGUCAGGCCGGGCUGCCAGGCUCGACAGGAGGGGCAGGAUCAGGCGGGAUGGGAUUGGGGCGGGGAAGGCCGGGAGCGCCGGGCAGUGGCCCCCCCGAGUGGCUACGAAACCCCCGCGAUGCGACCCCCAACGAGCACCGAUGCCGGGGCGGGAGCCCGCGCGGGCCGGGGUCGUGCAGUCUCACCGACGGCCAGCGUGAUGAAGGCCACCUGGAUGAAGAGCGACAGCCAGCUCAACAGAUGGGGAAGCUGGAGCCAAAGGAAGUUGCCCUGGGUCUUGCACCUAGGAAGCUGCACAAUCAGGAGUUGGGGUGAUUUUAAUCGGUCAUCCUCCGGCCUAAUUCCCCUCUAGGCUGUUCUUUUGGGGUACGUUCUGCACCUUUGUAUCGCCUGCACCUCACCCCCUGCCGGGCACGCAGGGCGUCCGCUAGGCGCUGGAUGCAUUUACUACACCUCUGGGAGGGUUCCCUGAGGGGCACCUGGAACCGGUUAGUCCUUGUCAACAAGUCUCCCAUCUAGUGGCCGAGACAGGCAUGCAAAAUAAAGUAUGUAGAACAAGA